GGCUGGUCCUACGGCCGUAGCUCUUAUAAUUAUUUGAUCACAGUCAGUUACACAUUUCUUUUUUCUUUCUCCACUCCCACUGCUGCACUUGACUAGUCUUUC
Molecule: non-coding RNA, 102 nt
Organism: Anas platyrhynchos (mallard)
Lineage: Eukaryota; Metazoa; Chordata; Aves; Anseriformes; Anatidae
Source: Rfam